Non-coding RNA from Ixodes scapularis (black-legged tick), 72 nucleotides. NCBI's taxonomy places the organism in Eukaryota, Metazoa, Arthropoda, Arachnida, Ixodida, Ixodidae. The record is from Rfam.
GCCGCCAUAGCUCAGUGGCAGAGCACUGGUCUUGUAAACCUGGGGUCGUGGGUUCGAUCCUCACUGGCGGCU